This 190-nucleotide ribosomal RNA is filed under the name uncultured bacterium. Its description in RNAcentral is "partial 16S ribosomal RNA". It matches the Rfam family "Bacterial small subunit ribosomal RNA", at positions 1314 to 1500 of the family's 1533-position model. The record is from RNAcentral.
GCCUACAUGAAGCUGGAGUUACUAGUAAUCGCAGAUCAGAAUGCUGCGGUGAAUGCGUUCCCGGGUCUUGUACACACCGCCCGUCACACCACGGAAGUUGGGGGCGCCCGAAGCCACUUAGCUAACCCUUUUGGGAAGCGAGUGUCGAAGGUGAAAUCAAUAACUGGGGGUGAAGUCGUAACAAGGUAAC